This 125-nucleotide small RNA is filed under the name Marmota monax (woodchuck). Lineage: Eukaryota; Metazoa; Chordata; Mammalia; Rodentia; Sciuridae. The record is from RNAcentral.
GCUGGGCAUGGUGGCACAUGCCUGUAAUCCCAGUGGCUCAGGAGGCUGAGACAGGAGGAUCAUGAGUUCAAAGCCAGCCUCAGCAAUGGUGAGGUGCUAAGCAACUCAGUGAGACCCUGUCUCUA